Molecule: long non-coding RNA, 827 nt
Filed under: Drosophila guanche
Lineage: Eukaryota; Metazoa; Arthropoda; Insecta; Diptera; Drosophilidae
Source: RNAcentral
GUCUGAAAUCAUACUCAUCCAAGCCGUAAAAUGGAACAAUUAAUAGGUCAUAAAGCAGGGGAUUUUAAAAAAUGUUAUGAGUCCCAAGAUAACGUUGAAUAAAUUACGCUAAAACAAAGCAGUGUCAAGGCAGUAUCGGAAACCCAAUACCAAACCUAGAAGUAAGCUCAGCCUAAGGCUGUUCCUAAGUUUGUACAUCUCUGAGAAACACAUUAAAACUUCAAAUUACAUUUUUACGGUGUUAUUUUUUGCUCUCUCUUUCCACAUUUUUACUUUAGAUUCCAACAAAGUCAUCAGACGAUGCACCAUUAAUCGUAUCAGAAGUUGCGAAGAUGCCAAAGACCCCAUCGGAGAGCGAGCAUCAGUGAGAAAGAAAGCGAGUCCAUGGCUCCAUCCAAGAUUGUUUGAUUACAAGUCCAUACGUUGUGCCGAAUGCUUUCAUGAUUUUAUGGUGUGGCAUGCUGAUUGUGAAGCAACCAGGCAUGGGUUUCCUUAGAAACUUUUUAAAAAAUAUAUACAAAAAUACUGGAAAUAAAUGCUGCCAGGCUGAUGUUUCUAGUUCGAGAUGUAGAACUCAACUGAAAGAACUGUAAAUAUUGUAUAGAGUUAAUGACACACUUUCGGUGUUGAGAAAAUUUGAUAACUGUCUUUUUCCAUUAGCAAAUACUUCAUCUAUGCACAUGUAUGUGUCACUUACACACACACACAUAUAAUAUCGUGUAUCGAUACACCCGCGUAUAGUGUCAGAAAUGCAAAAAUGUUAAGCCUUGCGGCAGCUUUUGCCCAAACAGAUUGUAGACAAAUAAAUGCCGCCAGCAGAACACACA